Molecule: ribosomal RNA, 410 nt
Filed under: uncultured Nitrososphaerota archaeon
Lineage: Archaea; Thermoproteati; Nitrososphaerota
Description: bacterial SSU rRNA
Rfam family: Archaeal small subunit ribosomal RNA
Source: RNAcentral
UCUGGUGUCAGCCGCCGCGGUAAAACCAGCACCUCAAGUGGUCAGGAUGAUUAUUGGGCCUAAAGCAUCCGUAGCCUGCUUUGUUAGUUUUCGGUUAAAUCCAUACGCUCAACGUAUGGGCUGCCGGGAAUACUGCAAAGCUAGGGAGUGGGAGAGGUAGACGGUACUCGGUAGGAAGGGGUAAAAUCCUUUGAUCUAUUGAUGACCACCUGUGGCGAAGGCGGUCUACCAGAACACGUCCGACGGUGAGGGAUGAAAGCUGGGGGAGCAAACCGGAUUAGAUACCCGGGUAGUCCCAGCUGUAAACUAUGCAAACUCGGUGAUGCAUUGGCUUGAUGCCAAUGCAGUGCCGCAGGGAAGCCGUUAAGUUUGCCGCCUGGGAAGUACGUACGCAAGUAUGAAACUUAAAG